GAUGAACGCUGGCGGCGUGCCUAAUACAUGCAAGUCGAGCGAACAGAUGAGGAGCUUGCUCCUCUGACGUUAGCGGCGGACGGGUGAGUAACACGUGGAUAACCUACCUAUAAGACUGGGAUAACUUCGGGAAACCGGAGCUAAUACCGGAUAAUAUAUUGAACCGCAUGGUUCAAUAGUGAAAGACGGUUUUGCUGUCACUUAUAGAUGGAUCCGCGCCGCAUUAGCUAGUUGGUAAGGUAACGGCUUACCAAGGCAACGAUGCGUAGCCGACCUGAGAGGGUGGUCGGCCACACUGGAACUGAGACACGGUCCAGACUCCUGCGGGAGGCAGCAGUAGGGAAUCUGACGCAAUGGGGGAAAGCUUGACGGAGCAACGCCGCGUGAGUGAUGAAGGUCUUCGGAUCGUAAAGCUCUGUUAUUAGGGAAGAACAAAUGUGUAAGUAACUAUGCACGUCUUGACGGUACCUAAUCAGAAAGCCACGGCUAACUACGUG
RNAcentral lists this ribosomal RNA (497 nucleotides) under uncultured bacterium. RNAcentral's name for it is "partial 16S ribosomal RNA". It matches the Rfam family "Bacterial small subunit ribosomal RNA", at positions 28 to 507 of the family's 1533-position model. The record is from RNAcentral.